UACGGAGGAUCCGAGCGUUAUCCGGAUUUAUUGGGUUUAAAGGGUGCGUAGGUGGUUUGAUAAGUCAGCGGUGAAAGUUUGCAGCUUAACUGUAAAAAUGCCGUUGAAACUGUCGGACUUGAGUGUAAAUGAGGUAGGCGGAAUGCGUGGUGUAGCGGUGAAAUGCAUAGAUAUCACGCAGAACUCCGAUUGCGAAGGCAGCUUACUAAGCUACAACUGACACCGAAGCACGAAAGCGUGGGGAUCAAACAGG
This 253-nucleotide ribosomal RNA is filed under the name uncultured bacterium. Its description in RNAcentral is "partial 16S ribosomal RNA". It matches the Rfam family "Bacterial small subunit ribosomal RNA", at positions 524 to 776 of the family's 1533-position model. The record is from RNAcentral.